This 734-nucleotide ribosomal RNA is filed under the name Mycobacterium tuberculosis. Its description in RNAcentral is "bacterial SSU rRNA". It matches the Rfam family "Bacterial small subunit ribosomal RNA", at positions 217 to 949 of the family's 1533-position model. Lineage: Bacteria; Bacillati; Actinomycetota; Actinomycetes; Mycobacteriales; Mycobacteriaceae. The record is from RNAcentral.
GGUGUGGGAUGAGCCCGCGGCCUAUCAGCUUGUUGGUGGGGUGACGGCCUACCAAGGCGACGACGGGUAGCCGGCCUGAGAGGGUGUCCGGCCACACUGGGACUGAGAUACGGCCCAGACUCCUACGGGAGGCAGCAGUGGGGAAUAUUGCACAAUGGGCGCAAGCCUGAUGCAGCGACGCCGCGUGGGGGAUGACGGCCUUCGGGUUGUAAACCUCUUUCACCAUCGACGAAGGUCCGGGUUCUCUCGGAUUGACGGUAGGUGGAGAAGAAGCACCGGCCAACUACGUGCCAGCAGCCGCGGUAAUACGUAGGGUGCGAGCGUUGUCCGGAAUUACUGGGCGUAAAGAGCUCGUAGGUGGUUUGUCGCGUUGUUCGUGAAAUCUCACGGCUUAACUGUGAGCGUGCGGGCGAUACGGGCAGACUAGAGUACUGCAGGGGAGACUGGAAUUCCUGGUGUAGCGGUGGAAUGCGCAGAUAUCAGGAGGAACACCGGUGGCGAAGGCGGGUCUCUGGGCAGUAACUGACGCUGAGGAGCGAAAGCGUGGGGAGCGAACAGGAUUAGAUACCCUGGUAGUCCACGCCGUAAACGGUGGGUACUAGGUGUGGGUUUCCUUCCUUGGGAUCCGUGCCGUAGCUAACGCAUUAAGUACCCCGCCUGGGGAGUACGGCCGCAAGGCUAAAACUCAAAGGAAUUGACGGGGGCCCGCACAAGCGGCGGAGCAUGUGGAUUAA